UGAAUCCUUUGGAUUCACUGUAUCUGUGAAUGGGUACCAGUGAUUUCCUUGUCUCUGGUCAUUAAGCCUCAAUGUGUUUUUUUUCACUAAUAGGCUGAUUUACAUUUGCUUAUAAUAUGUUGUAUUUAUGUUAAGACAUUUUGAUUUUUGAAAAAACUUUUAAAAGUUGCAAAGAAACUCCCUUCAUUUAUUUUGCCUGAUAAUGUUAGACAGUGGGCAGAAGUUUCUUUGCAACGUUUGACUUACUAAUGCCCCUCAAAAGCACCUGUCUCACAUAGAUGUGUAAAUUACUUUUCUGUGAUGAAAAACGUU
Long non-coding RNA from Etheostoma cragini (Arkansas darter), 312 nucleotides. RefSeq lists it as uncharacterized. The transcript has 2 exons. The record is from RefSeq and is a predicted model, not a curated record. Lineage: Eukaryota; Metazoa; Chordata; Actinopteri; Perciformes; Percidae.